UACGUAGGGGGCGAGCGUUGUCCGGAUUCACUGGGCGUAAAGGACGCGCAGGCGGCCCGAGGGGUCCGUCGUUAAAGCCCGGGGCUUAACUCCGGGUGGUCGGCGGGGACCGGCGGGCUUGGAGGCCGGUAGAGGGAUGCGGAAUUCCCGGUGUAGUGGUGAAAUGCGUAGAGAUCGGGAGGAACACCAGAGGCGAAAGCGGCAUCCUGGGCCGGGCCUGACGCUGAGGCGUGAAAGCGUGGGGAGCGAA
This 250-nucleotide ribosomal RNA is filed under the name uncultured bacterium. RNAcentral describes it as "partial 16S ribosomal RNA". It matches the Rfam family "Bacterial small subunit ribosomal RNA", at positions 524 to 772 of the family's 1533-position model. The record is from RNAcentral.